This 1156-nucleotide ribosomal RNA is filed under the name metagenome. Its description in RNAcentral is "SSU rRNA". It matches the Rfam family "Eukaryotic small subunit ribosomal RNA", at positions 582 to 1759 of the family's 1831-position model. The record is from RNAcentral.
AUUCCAGCUCCACAAGUGUAUUCCUAUAUUGUUGCGGUUAAAGAGCUCGUAGUUGGAUCUGAGUGCUUAGCGGGUGGUACAGUGUUUCACUGUCACUGCUUCGCGGCACAUAACCGUCGACUGGCUGCUGCUGUUGCCUUCACCGGUGACGGCAGUUAGCUAUCGACAUGUUUACUUUGAACAAAUCAGAGUGCUCAAAACAGGCGUUUCGUUUGUAUGUUUUUGCAUGGAAUAAUAGAAUAGGACCUUGGGUCUAUUUUGUUGGUUUUCGGAAUCAAGGUAAUGAUUAAGAGGGACAGACGGGGGCAUUCGUACUGCAACGGGAGAGGUGAAAUUCUUGGAUCGUUGCAAGACGAACUACUGCGAAAGCAUUUGCCAAGAAUGUUUUCAUUAAUCAAGAACGAAAGUAACGGGUUCGAAGGCGAUCAGAUACCGCCCUAGUCGUUACCGUAAACGAUUGUAACCGGGAGCUAGCAGGCGCUUUACUAUGGCUCUGCUAGAACCCACCCGGAAACGAAGAGUUUUCGAUACCCGGGGGAAGUAUACUUGCAAAUGUGAAACUUAAAGGAAUUGACGGAAGGGCACCACCAGGGGUGGAGCCUGCGGCUUAAUUUGACCCAACACGGGGAAACUCAUCCGGUCCGGACACCGUAAGGAUUGACAGAUUGAGAGCUCUUUCUUGAUUUGGUGGGCAGUGGUGCAUGGCCGUUCUUAGUUGGUGGAGUGAUUUGUCUGGUUUAUUCCGAUAACGAACGAGACUCUAGCCUACUAACUAGUUAUGCGAUCUUCUUGUCGUAUUAACUUCUUAGAGGGACAAGCGGUGCUCAGCCGCAUGAAAAAGAGCAAUAACAGGUCUGUGAUGCCCUUCGAUGUUCGGAGCUGCACGCGCGCUACACUGUAGAAUGCAACGUGCUAGCUUGCCUCGCUCGCAAGAGUGGGGUAAUCGGUUGAAAUUUCUACGUGAUUGGGAUAGGGACUUGUAAUUAUUUCCCUUGAACGAGGAAUCCCUAGUAAGUGCAGGUCAUCAGCUUGUGCUGAUUACGUCCCUGCCCUUUGUACACACCGCCCGUCGCUGCCCGGAACUGAGCCAUUUCGAGAAAAAUGGGGACUGAUUGCUUGUGAGCACGCAAGUGCUUCUUGCAGUCGGAAACCAUCU